Molecule: ribosomal RNA, 460 nt
Filed under: uncultured bacterium
Lineage: Bacteria
Description: partial 16S ribosomal RNA
Rfam family: Bacterial small subunit ribosomal RNA
Source: RNAcentral
CCUACGGGUGACAGCAGUGAGGAAUAUUGGUCAAUGGCCGUAAGGCUGAACCAGCCAAGUCGCGUGAAGGAAGAAGGAUCUAUGGUUUGUAAACUUCUUUUAUAGGGGAGUAAAGGUAUCCACGUGUGGAUAUUUGAAUGUACCCUAUGAGUAAGCAUAGGCUAACUCAGUGCCAGCAGCCGCGGUAAUACGGAGGAUGCGAGCGUUAUCCGGAUUUAUUGGGUGUAAAGGGUGCGUAGGUUGUUUUUUAAGUCAGCGGUGAAAUUGUGUGGCUCAACCAUAAAAUUGCCGUUGAAACUGGAAGACUUGAGUGUGUUUGAGGUAGGCAGAAUGCGAGGUGUAGCGGUGAAAUGCAUAGAUAUCAGGCAGAAUACCGAUUGCGAAGGCAGCUUACUAAGCCAUAACUGACGCUGAAGCGCGAAAGCGUGGGGAGCAAACAGGAUUAGAUACCCGUGUAGUC